UACGGAGGAUGCGAGCGUUAUCCGGAUUUAUUGGGUUUAAAGGGUGCGUAGGCGGAUUAAUAAGUCAGUGGUGAAAACCUUCAGCUUAACUGGAGAACUGCCAUUGAUACUGUUAGUCUUGAGUACGGUCAAGGUAGGCGGAAUGUGUAAUGUAGCGGUGAAAUGCUUAGAUAUUACACAGAACACCGAUUGCGAAGGCAGCUUACUGGACCAUUACUGACGCUGAUGCACGAAAGCGUGGGGAGCGAACAGG
This 253-nucleotide ribosomal RNA is filed under the name uncultured bacterium. Its description in RNAcentral is "partial 16S ribosomal RNA". It matches the Rfam family "Bacterial small subunit ribosomal RNA", at positions 524 to 776 of the family's 1533-position model. The record is from RNAcentral.